GCCGAUGUAUGGAAGAAGGAGAUCGAUUGAACGGAGAUCGAGACAAGGAGUGGCGAUGGAUCAACGGAAGGCGGACGAUAGACGACGGGCGGACUCGAUGGAGCGAGCUUACAGUGGCAGCGUAGGAUGAGGAAAACCUCGGAGGCGAUGACCUUGGAGCGGAGCGGAGACUGAAACUGUGGCGGCAGCGGCAAGCGCGUGGGCCGCGUUUGGUACCACUAGCGGUGGCGGAGGAAGGCCAAAGAGCGGAGACGGUGUGGUCAAGAUGAUUGGGGCUCGCCGGAGCCUCGCCGGAUUCUGGAGACGGGAUCGCCGGCGGCGCCAGUGUUCGCAGAAGCAGAGGUUGAAGGAGAGGAAGCUUACUUGGUCGCCGUCACCUAGAGGUUGAAGGAGAGUGGCGAGGAAGUUAUGGGAGAUCGACCAGGAUCGAAGGAGGAUUCGGCCGGGAGUAUCGCAAGGUGAAGCGAUGGCGAUUGCGGCGUUGGAUUAGAGGGGGGGUUCCGCGGCCGACGGCCUUAGAUCGAGGGAGAAGCCUUCUCCCCCAUGCGAAUCGGCUGGCGGGAGAGUCGAAAGCGGGGGGGAGAAAAGGGCGGUAGAGUCAAAGGCGAGGGGAAGAAGCGGAUUCCAAGAUUCAUGGAAAGCUCGACGGAUUGAAUCGGGUCACCGGCGACGACCUCUGUAAUCACAGAAGCAGAGGUUAGGGAAGAGUGAUCACCUAGCGAAUUAUGGAAGAUAAGUGACCAGUUUGCAAUACCUGUAAAGUUAGAGGUGCUGGACUGAACAGUACUUCCUGGAAAGUAGGAUGACUGGGUUAUAGUUAUCUGUUUUCUAGGGAUGGAAUCUGCAAGGAUCAGAAUCCGAGGACUGAACUGGACAUUUAUGGACAGCUGGGCAGCAAAAUGACAGAAUCGCCCCUGGAAGUUUCAGCAAGUGGCAAAGAAGUAAACGGAGCACAACUCGAUCGUUUGAGCUCAGAACGACGCACCGUCUGGGGCUGUGGUUUCGUGGCAGCAGGAGGUAUCAUCUCAGAGAUAUUUCUGAGAUGUCGGCUCGCCAAUGAGGUGGAUUGGUUUAAGGGGGUAAUAUCUUGUCGUUGCAGUAGGUUAGAUUACGUCAGCUAAUUUGAUGCAUUUAGUUUAUGCCAUGAUUCCAUGCUUGAGUGUUUAUUUGUGACAUGUUAUUACUUUGAUGUGGUGCAAGUUAUGCCUCCUAUAUAACUAUAAGACUAGACCAAUGAUAAUGUUAAC
Molecule: long non-coding RNA, 1247 nt
Filed under: Linum usitatissimum (flax)
Lineage: Eukaryota; Viridiplantae; Streptophyta; Magnoliopsida; Malpighiales; Linaceae
Description: long non-coding RNA (LUSI_LNC003987)
Source: RNAcentral